GAUGAACGCUGGCGGCGUGCCUAAUACAUGCAAGUCGAGCGAACAGACGAGGAGCUUGCUCCUCUGACGUUAGCGGCGGACGGGUGAGUAACACGUGGAUAACCUACCUAUAAGACUGGGAUAACUUCGGGAAACCGGAGCUAAUACCGGAUAAUAUAUUGAACCGCAUGGUUCAAUAGUGAAAGACGGUUUUGCUGUCACUUAUAGAUGGAUCCGCGCCGCAUUAGCUAGUUGGUAAGGUAACGGCUUACCAAGGCAACGAUGCGUAGCCGACCUGAGAGGGUGAUCGGCCACACUGGAACUGAGACACGGUCCAGACUCCUACGGGAGGCAGCAGUAGGGAAUCUUCCGCAAUGGGCGAAAGCCUGACAGAGCAACGCCGCGUGAGUGAUGAAGGUCUUCGAAUCGUAAAACUCUGUUAUUAGGGAAGAACAAAUGUGUAAGUAACUAUGCACGUCUUGACGGUACCUAAUCAGAAAGCCACGGCUAACUACGUG
This 497-nucleotide ribosomal RNA is filed under the name uncultured bacterium. Its description in RNAcentral is "partial 16S ribosomal RNA". It matches the Rfam family "Bacterial small subunit ribosomal RNA", at positions 28 to 507 of the family's 1533-position model. The record is from RNAcentral.